RNAcentral lists this ribosomal RNA (253 nucleotides) under uncultured bacterium. RNAcentral describes it as "partial 16S ribosomal RNA". It matches the Rfam family "Bacterial small subunit ribosomal RNA", at positions 524 to 776 of the family's 1533-position model. The record is from RNAcentral.
CACGUAGGGCGCAAGCGUUGUCCGGAAUUAUUGGGCGUAAAGAGCUCGUAGGCGGUCUGUUGCGUCCGCUGUGAAAACUCGGGGGCUUAACCCCGAGCCUGCAGUGGAUACGGGCAGACUAGAGGUAGGUAGGGGAGAAUGGAAUUCCCGGUGUAGCGGUGAAAUGCGCAGAUAUCUGGAGGAACACCGGUGGCGAAGGCGGCGUUCUGGACUGUCUCUGACACUGAAGAACGAAAGCCAGGGAGCAAACGGG